UGUGCACUGUUUUCUGAGGACCUGGAUUC
This 29-nucleotide non-coding RNA is filed under the name Rattus norvegicus (Norway rat). Lineage: Eukaryota; Metazoa; Chordata; Mammalia; Rodentia; Muridae. The record is from RNAcentral.